GGUUAAGCGACUAAGCGUACACGGUGGAUGCCCUGGCAGUCAGAGGCGAUGAAGGACGUGCUAAUCUGCGAUAAGCGUCGGUGAGGUGAUAUGAACCGUUAUAACCGGCGAUUUCCGAAUGGGGAAACCCAGUGUGUUUCGACACACUAUCAUUAACUGAAUCCAUAGGUUAAUGAGGCGAACCGGGGGAACUGAAACAUCUAAGUACCCCGAGGAAAAGAAAUCAACCGAGAUUCCCCCAGUAGCGGCGAGCGAACGGGGAGGAGCCCAGAGCCUGAAUCAGUGUGUGUGUUAGUGGAAGCGUCUGGAAAGGCGUGCGAUACAGGGUGACAGCCCCGUACACAAAAAUGCACAUAUUGUGAGCUCGAUGAGUAGGGCGGGACACGUGGUAUCCUGUCUGAAUAUGGGGGGACCAUCCUCCAAGGCUAAAUACUCCUGACUGACCGAUAGUGAACCAGUACCGUGAGGGAAAGGCGAAAAGAACCCCGGCGAGGGGAGUGAAAAAGAACCUGAAACCGUGUACGUACAAGCAGUGGGAGCCUCUUAAUGGGGUGACUGCGUACCUUUUGUAUAAUGGGUCAGCGACUUAUAUUCUGUAGCAAGGUUAACCGAAUAGGGGAGCCGAAGGGAAACCGAGUCUUAACUGGGCGUUAAGUUGCAGGGUAUAGACCCGAAACCCGGUGAUCUAGCCAUGGGCAGGUUGAAGGUUGGGUAACACUAACUGGAGGACCGAACCGACUAAUGUUGAAAAAUUAGCGGAUGACUUGUGGCUGGGGGUGAAAGGCCAAUCAAACCGGGAGAUAGCUGGUUCUCCCCGAAAGCUAUUUAGGUAGCGCCUCGUGAAUUCAUCUCCGGGGGUAGAGCACUGUUUCGGCAAGGGGGUCAUCCCGACUUACCAACCCGAUGCAAACUGCGAAUACCGGAGAAUGUUAUCACGGGAGACACACGGCGGGUGCUAACGUCCGUCGUGAAGAGGGAAACAACCCAGACCGCCAGCUAAGGUCCCAAAGUCAUGGUUAAGUGGGAAACGAUGUGGGAAGGCCCAGACAGCCAGGAUGUUGGCUUAGAAGCAGCCAUCAUUUAAAGAAAGCGUAAUAGCUCACUGGUCGAGUCGGCCUGCGCGGAAGAUGUAACGGGGCUAAACCAUGCACCGAAGCUGCGGCAGCGACACUAUGUGUUGUUGGGUAGGGGAGCGUUCUGUAAGCCUGUGAAGGUGGCCUGUGAGGGUUGCUGGAGGUAUCAGAAGUGCGAAUGCUGACAUAAGUAACGAUAAAGCGGGUGAAAAGCCCGCUCGCCGGAAGACCAAGGGUUCCUGUCCAACGUUAAUCGGGGCAGGGUGAGUCGACCCCUAAGGCGAGGCCGAAAGGCGUAGUCGAUGGGAAACAGGUUAAUAUUCCUGUACUUGGUGUUACUGCGAAGGGGGGACGGAGAAGGCUAUGUUGGCCGGGCGACGGUUGUCCCGGUUUAAGCGUGUAGGCUGGUUUUCCAGGCAAAUCCGGAAAACCAAGGCUGAGGCGUGAUGACGAGGCACUACGGUGCUGAAGCGACAAAUGCCCUGCUUCCAGGAAAAGCCUCUAAGCAUCAGGUAACAUCAAAUCGUACCCCAAACCGACACAGGUGGUCAGGUAGAGAAUACCAAGGCGCUUGAGAGAACUCGGGUGAAGGAACUAGGCAAAAUGGUGCCGUAACUUCGGGAGAAGGCACGCUGAUAUGUAGGUGAAGCGACUUGCUCGUGGAGCUGAAAUCAGUCGAAGAUACCAGCUGGCUGCAACUGUUUAUUAAAAACACAGCACUGUGCAAACACGAAAGUGGACGUAUACGGUGUGACGCCUGCCCGGUGCCGGAAGGUUAAUUGAUGGGGUUAGCGGUAACGCGAAGCUCUUGAUCGAAGCCCCGGUAAACGGCGGCCGUAACUAUAACGGUCCUAAGGUAGCGAAAUUCCUUGUCGGGUAAGUUCCGACCUGCACGAAUGGCGUAAUGAUGGCCAGGCUGUCUCCACCCGAGACUCAGUGAAAUUGAACUCGCUGUGAAGAUGCAGUGUACCCGCGGCAAGACGGAAAGACCCCGUGAACCUUUACUAUAGCUUGACACUGAACAUUGAGCCUUGAUGUGUAGGAUAGGUGGGAGGCUUUGAAGUGUGGACGCCAGUCUGCAUGGAGCCGACCUUGAAAUACCACCCUUUAAUGUUUGAUGUUCUAACGUUGGCCCGUAAUCCGGGUUGCGGACAGUGUCUGGUGGGUAGUUUGACUGGGGCGGUCUCCUCCUAAAGAGUAACGGAGGAGCACGAAGGUUGGCUAAUCCUGGUCGGACAUCAGGAGGUUAGUGCAAUGGCAUAAGCCAGCUUGACUGCGAGCGUGACGGCGCGAGCAGGUGCGAAAGCAGGUCAUAGUGAUCCGGUGGUUCUGAAUGGAAGGGCCAUCGCUCAACGGAUAAAAGGUACUCCGGGGAUAACAGGCUGAUACCGCCCAAGAGUUCAUAUCGACGGCGGUGUUUGGCACCUCGAUGUCGGCUCAUCACAUCCUGGGGCUGAAGUAGGUCCCAAGGGUAUGGCUGUUCGCCAUUUAAAGUGGUACGCGAGCUGGGUUUAGAACGUCGUGAGACAGUUCGGUCCCUAUCUGCCGUGGGCGCUGGAGAACUGAGGGGGGCUGCUCCUAGUACGAGAGGACCGGAGUGGACGCAUCACUGGUGUUCGGGUUGUCAUGCCAAUGGCACUGCCCGGUAGCUAAAUGCGGAAGAGAUAAGUGCUGAAAGCAUCUAAGCACGAAACUUGCCCCGAGAUGAGUUCUCCCUGACUCCUUGAG
This 2801-nucleotide ribosomal RNA is filed under the name Escherichia coli. RNAcentral's name for it is "partial 23S ribosomal RNA". It matches the Rfam family "Bacterial large subunit ribosomal RNA". The record is from RNAcentral. Lineage: Bacteria; Pseudomonadati; Pseudomonadota; Gammaproteobacteria; Enterobacterales; Enterobacteriaceae.